ACGGAAGGCAGCAGUAGGGAAUCUUCCGCAAUGGACGAAAGUCUGACGGAGCAACGCCGCGUGAGCGAAGAAGGCCUUCGGGUCGUAAAGCUCUGUUGUUAGGGAAGAACAAGUAACGCAGUAACUGGCGUUACCGUGACGGUACCUAACGAGAAAGCCACGGCUAACUACGUGCCAGCAGCCGCGGUAAUACGUAGGUGGCAAGCGUUGUCCGGAAUUAUUGGGCGUAAAGCGCGCGCAGGCGGUUCCUUAAGUCUGAUGUGAAAGCCCACGGCUCAACCGUGGAGGGUCAUUGGAAACUGGGGGACUUGAGUGCAGAAGAGGAGAGCGGAAUUCCACGUGUAGCGGUGAAAUGCGUAGAGAUGUGGAGGAACACCAGUGGCGAAGGCGGCUCUCUGGUCUGUAACUGACGCUGAGGCGCGAAAGCGUGGGGAGCAAACAGGAUUAGAUACCCUGGUA
Molecule: ribosomal RNA, 459 nt
Filed under: uncultured Anoxybacillus sp.
Lineage: Bacteria; Bacillati; Bacillota; Bacilli; Caryophanales; Anoxybacillaceae
Description: bacterial SSU rRNA
Rfam family: Bacterial small subunit ribosomal RNA
Source: RNAcentral